Molecule: long non-coding RNA, 323 nt
Filed under: Heterocephalus glaber (naked mole-rat)
Lineage: Eukaryota; Metazoa; Chordata; Mammalia; Rodentia; Bathyergidae
Description: lncRNA (ENSHGLG00000047778.1)
Source: RNAcentral
GAUCUGCUUCUAUUCACUGCCUUUGGACUCCAACUUGGAUCAGAACUUACACCAAUAGCUCUCCUAGAACUGGAGCCUUGGUCUCCAUAAUUUGAGAAGACUGAGGCUCAACAAAGCUAAGCCACCUGUCCAAGACUGCACAGCUGGGCGGAAGCUCCGCCGUCUGACCUUGAGACCUGUACUCUUUCCCACUCCUUAGUAAUGACAGGGCCUGUGGGGUCUCAGGGAUCCACUUUGGGAAAGUUUUGACUUUCAGAUCCCCAUAGAAAAGGCAGACAACUGAGAGUCAUCAAACACUACACCAUGCUCAGGUAGGCAAAGUG